GAGACCCACGCCAACAGUUGCCAGCAUGUCCUCCGGGAUGGUGGGGACACUGUUGGGACCGCCUCUGCUAAAGAGGAGGAAGGAAUGGGCAACGGUAGGUCAGCAUGCCCCGAAUUAUCCGGGCUACACGCGGGCUACAAUGGUCAGGACAAUGGGUAUCGACACCGAGAGGUGAAGGCAAUCUCUUAAACCUGUCCUUAGUUCGGAUUGUGGGCUGCAACUCGCCCACAUGAAGCUGGAAUCCGUAGUAAUCGCAUCUCAAAAUGGCGCGGUGAAUAU
This 279-nucleotide ribosomal RNA is filed under the name uncultured archaeon. RNAcentral's name for it is "partial 16S rRNA". It matches the Rfam family "Archaeal small subunit ribosomal RNA", at positions 1047 to 1325 of the family's 1478-position model. The record is from RNAcentral.